Molecule: non-coding RNA, 72 nt
Organism: Rattus norvegicus (Norway rat)
Lineage: Eukaryota; Metazoa; Chordata; Mammalia; Rodentia; Muridae
Source: Rfam
GGGGAUUUAGCUCAGUGGUAGAGCGCUUGCCUAGCAAGCGCAAGGCCCUGGGUUCGGUCCCCAGACCCACCC